AAUGAACGUUGGCGGCGUGGAUUAGGCAUGCAAGUCGAACGGGCCGCAAGGCCAGUGGCGGAAGGGUGAGUAAUGCGACGGUAACCAACCCCGGAAAUGGGUAUAGCCGCGGGAAACUGCGGGUAAUCCCCAGCGACGUGUCGGGUCGGCAUCGACCUGACACCAAAGCUCCGGCGUUCCGGGACGGGCCGUUGUGGUAUUAGCUAGUUGGCGGGGUAACGGCCCACCAAGGCUGCGAUGCCUACCGGGCGUGCGAGCGUGGCCCGGCACACUGGGACUGAGACACUGCCCAGACUCCUACGGGAGGCUGCAGUCGAGAAUCUUCGGCAAUGGGCGGCAAGCCUGACCGAGCGACGCCGCCGUGGAGGACGAAGGCCUCGGUUGUAACGUA
Molecule: ribosomal RNA, 391 nt
Filed under: uncultured bacterium
Lineage: Bacteria
Description: bacterial SSU rRNA
Rfam family: Bacterial small subunit ribosomal RNA
Source: RNAcentral